This 286-nucleotide signal recognition particle RNA is filed under the name Carlito syrichta (Philippine tarsier). RNAcentral's name for it is "Metazoan signal recognition particle RNA (ENSTSYG00000025536.1)". It matches the Rfam family "Metazoan signal recognition particle RNA". Rfam says of the family: The signal recognition particle (SRP) is a universally conserved ribonucleoprotein. It is involved in the co-translational targeting of proteins to membranes. The record is from Rfam by way of RNAcentral. Lineage: Eukaryota; Metazoa; Chordata; Mammalia; Primates; Tarsiidae.
GCUGGGUGUGGUGGCUCAUGCCUGAGUCUCAGCUACACAGGAGGCUGAGGCAGGAGGAUCACUUGAGGCCAGGCAUUUGUAGUGUGCUAUGUUGGUUGGGUGUGUACACUAAGUUUAAUCUCAAUAUGGUGAUCUCCUGGGAGUGGGGGAACACCAGGUUGACUAAGGAGAGGUAGAUGGGCCCAGGUCAAAAAUGGAGCAGGUCAGAACACCCAUGAUGGUCAGUAGCGGGCUCAUGCCUGUGAAUAGCUACUACACUCCAGCCUGGGCAACAUAGCAAGACUUU